AAUAGUUGUUCACGGGGCUUGAGAAAGAUUCUCAAACUUGAAAAUUUUAGCACUACUUUUUCUUAAGAAUCACAUUUGAUUUGGUCAUUGGAAUUUUUUGCUGAGGAUCCAUGCGGUGUCAGUGAAACUAGACCUUGGUUACAUGGUGAUGGAUGCAUUAUCCCAGGGUUCUCCUAUAAACACUGUCAUAUCCAUGCUGGGGUGUUGUUUUUUCAUUCUUCUAAUUCAGCUUUGCUCUAGCAUCACGUAUUUAUAGCCUAUAACAACUUUGGCUGUGAUUUUAAGUUCAUUCCCUUUUUCUGAUACCAUUAAGUUCAUUCCCUUGAGUUCUUACACUGUGUCAUGUAGGUUUCUAGGAUUCGUUUAAAAAACAAUUUUUACAGCUAAUAAAUAUAGUUGGUUUUCUUUUGCAGGUUGAGAAGACAAGGCAAGGUUUCAGCAGAAUGAACGUCUCACAGCACAGCUCCUGCAACCAAAGAGUUAUGCUGGCCCAAUUGAAGAGACAAUUCAGUAUUUCAAUCAGAGAACAAGCUCGGACCUUCAAAGCGAGCCUCAAAGACAAACCUCAAAUAUCACACUUUGCAGCCUUCUUUUGCUUGCACACAGUGCAAUUCCGUGGAACAAAAAAUUUAAGUAUUUGCGACAAGGAUAUUCACACAGGCUGUCUCCUACUUUCUCAGAAGCAAAUAGGGUUUUCUAACAGCAAAUGAGCUAAGCAACCUUUUACAGCAGAAAAGCCUGAGACAUUAACCAGACGAGUUGUUGGGACCACAGACACAACCACAUUAUGGUGCAUUAGACUCCUAUCUUUAUGGGCUCACUCUAUGCCACCCAAAGCUGAAAAUGCCAACCAUCUGUAUUGCCCUAAUACCAUAACAAGCCCUACUAUUCUCUCGAAUGGCUUUAGUUGUGCCAUGGCUUACAAGGAAAUCCGCGUGAGAUACUUAAUUAUUACUGAUUUGAGCAUGGAAAUACGUCAGGACAGGUGCCUUAAUUAAGACCACGAUACAAAUGGAGGUGUUGGGCUAUGGACUUAUGAGCUCUCCUAAAGACCAGAGAUUUGUAUAUAGCAAAAGGAGACUACCAUCGAGCCUCUAAAUUCAAUCCCAAUGGAACAUACUUCAUCUAGCUAGUAGCGUCCCACUCUGAAAUCAGUAAGGGUAAGCUGCAAAGAUGACUACAAUGGUCAAAGCUAGAGUGCAAUAAGUUGAUUAUCAGACAUCAAUAAGUUUAAAAAUAUAACAAAUUUCAUAACAUCUUUCAUAGUUAUUAUGGAUGAUGGCAGAUUGCAGUUGGUGUACAGUAAAAGAAACUUUAGUAGUUAUUUGAGUGAAAAUUAUGUUACUUUAAUUAUAA
Quercus robur (English oak) is the source of this 1356-nucleotide long non-coding RNA. RefSeq lists it as uncharacterized. NCBI's taxonomy places the organism in Eukaryota, Viridiplantae, Streptophyta, Magnoliopsida, Fagales, Fagaceae. The record is from RefSeq and is a predicted model, not a curated record. The transcript is spliced from 4 exons.